RNAcentral lists this ribosomal RNA (468 nucleotides) under uncultured bacterium. RNAcentral's name for it is "bacterial SSU rRNA". It matches the Rfam family "Bacterial small subunit ribosomal RNA", at positions 28 to 491 of the family's 1533-position model. The record is from RNAcentral.
GAUGAACGCUAGCGGCAGGCUUAACACAUGCAAGUCGAGGGGCAGCACGGGUAGCAAUACCUGGUGGCGACCGGCGCAAGGGUGCGUAACGCGUGAGCAACAUGCCCUAUACAGGGGGAUAAUCCAGGGAAACUUGGUCUAAUAUCCCAUAGUAUUUAGAGGAGGCAUCUUCUAUAAAUUAAAGCUUCGGUGGUAUAGGAUUGGCUCGCGUGACAUUAGCUAGAUGGUGAGGUAACGGCUCACCAUGGCAAUGAUGUCUAGGGGUUCUGAGAGGAAGGCCCCCCACACUGGGACUGAGACACGGCCCAGACUCCUACGGGAGGCAGCAGUGAGGAAUAUUGGACAAUGGAUGGGAAAUCUGAUCCAGCCAUGCCGCGUGCAGGAAGACAGCCCUAUGGGUUGUAAACUGCUUUUAAUGGGAGCAAUAAGGUCUACGUGUAGACUGAUGAGAGUACCAUAUGAAUAAGC